GAUGAACGCUGGCGGCGUGCCUAAUACAUGCAAGUCGAGCGAACAGACGAGGAGCUUGCUCCUCUGACGUUAGCGGCGGACGGGUGAGUAACACGUGGAUAACCUACCUAUAAGACUGGGAUAACUUCGGGAAACCGGAGCUAAUACCGGAUAAUAUAUUGAACCGCAUGGUUCAAUAGUGAAAGACGGUUUUGCUGUCACUUAUAGAUGGAUCGGCGCCGCAUUAGCUAGUUGGUAAGGUAACGGCUUACCAAGGCAACGAUGCGUAGCCGACCUGAGAGGGUGAUCGGCCACACUGGAACUGAGACACGGUCCAGACUCCUACGGGAGGCAGCAGUAGGGAAUCUUCCGCAAUGGGCGAAAGCCUGACGGAGUAACGCCGCGUGAGUGAUGAAGGUCUUCGGAUCGUAAAACUCUGUUAUUAGGGAAGAACAAAUGUGUAAGUAACUAUGCACGUCUUGACGGUACCUAAUCAGAAAGCCACGGCUAACUACGUG
RNAcentral lists this ribosomal RNA (497 nucleotides) under uncultured bacterium. Its description in RNAcentral is "partial 16S ribosomal RNA". It matches the Rfam family "Bacterial small subunit ribosomal RNA", at positions 28 to 507 of the family's 1533-position model. The record is from RNAcentral.